This 68-nucleotide transfer RNA is filed under the name Sicyonia parajaponica. Its description in RNAcentral is "tRNA-Gln". Lineage: Eukaryota; Metazoa; Arthropoda; Malacostraca; Decapoda; Sicyoniidae. The record is from RNAcentral.
UAUACUCUGGUGUACAGGCACGUAAAAUUUUGAUUUUUAAUGAAAUGGUGUGAUUCCAUUGGGUGUAG